UACGAAGGGGGCAAGCGUUGUUCGGAAUUACUGGGCGUAAAGGGCGCGUAGGCGGCUUAUCAAGUCAGGCGUGAAAUUCCCGGGCUCAACCUGGGGGCUGCGCUUGAUACUGAUGAGCUUGAAUGCGGGAGAGGAUAGUGGAAUUCCCAGUGUAGAGGUGAAAUUCGUAGAUAUUGGGAAGAACACCGGUGGCGAAGGCGGCGAGCUGGUCCAUUACUGACGCUGAGGCGCGACAGCGUGGGGAGCAAACAGG
Molecule: ribosomal RNA, 253 nt
Filed under: uncultured bacterium
Lineage: Bacteria
Description: partial 16S ribosomal RNA
Rfam family: Bacterial small subunit ribosomal RNA
Source: RNAcentral